CCUACGGGUGGCAGCAGUAGGGAAUAUUGCUCAAUGGGGGAAACCCUGAAGCAGCAACGCCGCGUGGAGGAUGAAGGUUCUCGGAUUGUAAACUCCUUUUGUUAGAGAAGAUAAUGACGGUAUCUAAAGAAUAAGCACCGGCUAACUCCGUGCCAGCAGCCGCGGUAAUACGGAGGGUGCAAGCGUUACUCGGAAUCACUGGGCGUAAAGAGCGCGUAGGCGGGAUAGCAAGUCAGAUGUGAAAUCCUAUGGCUUAACCAUAGAACUGCAUUUGAAACUGUUAUUCUAGAGUAUGGGAGAGGUAGGUGGAAUUCUUGGUGUAGGGGUGAAAUGCGUAGAGAUCAAGAGGAAUACUCAUUGCGAAGGCGACCUGCUAGAACAUAACUGACGCUGAUGCGCGAAAGCGUGGGGAGCAAACAGGAUUAGAUACCCGAGUAGUC
This 440-nucleotide ribosomal RNA is filed under the name uncultured bacterium. RNAcentral describes it as "partial 16S ribosomal RNA". It matches the Rfam family "Bacterial small subunit ribosomal RNA", at positions 338 to 795 of the family's 1533-position model. The record is from RNAcentral.